This 747-nucleotide unclassified non-coding RNA is filed under the name Octopus sinensis (East Asian common octopus). RNAcentral's name for it is "biogenesis of lysosome-related organelles complex 1 subunit 2, transcript variant X2". The record is from RNAcentral. Lineage: Eukaryota; Metazoa; Mollusca; Cephalopoda; Octopoda; Octopodidae.
AAGCGAUGUAAAUAAUGGCAGGCCAUGAAAGUAUGAAGAGUAAAAAGGACCAAGAAAAUCGCAUGAAAAACGAAGACGGAGCCAGCAGGAUGGAAGAUAGCAACAAGGUAGAGGACCUGUCAGAAUCAAAAGAUGAACCGCCAGCUGAUGUGGUGCGCCUCUGCCAGGAAACUAUGAGUAAAACCGCAAUCUAUUUGAGGGGUGAACUUGAAGGGACUGCUGAGGAGUACAAACUUUUGGAGCAGAUGAAUCAAGUGACGAUCAAUAAAUAUUCUGAGAUGAAACAUAUUGCCAUGAAUAUCAGUCGUGCCAUGGUUGAACUGGAUGACAAAUAUCGCAGUCUACAACCAUACCUGGAUCAAAUAGACCAAAUAGAAGAGAGUGUUAGUAAUCUGGAGCAAGCAGCCUACCGACUGGAUGCCUAUUCCAAGAGAUUAGAAUCCAAGUUCAAAAUGCUCCAGAAACGAUGAAAUGGUGAUCUGUCGUGGUUGUAGGCACUAACAGUCUUUCUGCUUCUUUUUAAUUCUCCUCUUUUCAUUUAACCAAAACAACUCUGUGAUGUCUCCAUUUGAAUUUACUAACCUAUUCAGGCUUGGUUUACAGCCCUAAUUUGAUAUACUUCUGUUAUGGCUUCCUUUGUUUUAUCAGUCAAACAAUUUUACUCUAAAUUUAAUUCUACUCUCUUUUCAUGUCAUGAUAAUGACUGCUAAUAGAGGUGUGUGUGUGUGUGUGUGUCUGUGUGUGUGU